This 85-nucleotide transfer RNA is filed under the name Felis catus (domestic cat). It matches the Rfam family "tRNA". Rfam says of the family: Transfer RNA (tRNA) molecules are approximately 80 nucleotides in length. Their secondary structure includes four short double-helical elements and three loops (D, anti-codon, and T loops). Further hydrogen bonds mediate the characteristic L-shaped molecular structure. tRNAs have two regions of fundamental functional importance: the anti-codon, which is responsible for specific mRNA codon recognition, and the 3' end, to which the tRNAs corresponding amino acid is attached (by aminoacyl-tRNA synthetases). tRNAs cope with the degeneracy of the genetic code in two manners: having more than one tRNA (with a specific anti-codon) for a particular amino acid; and 'wobble' base-pairing, i.e. permitting non-standard base-pairing at the 3rd anti-codon position. The record is from Rfam by way of RNAcentral. Lineage: Eukaryota; Metazoa; Chordata; Mammalia; Carnivora; Felidae.
GCCCAGGUGGCUCAGUCGGUUAAGCGCCUGACUUUGGCUCAGGUCAUGAUCUCACAGUUUGUGGGUCCAAGCCCCAUGUUGGGCU